This 448-nucleotide ribosomal RNA is filed under the name uncultured bacterium. RNAcentral describes it as "partial 16S ribosomal RNA". It matches the Rfam family "Bacterial small subunit ribosomal RNA", at positions 29 to 523 of the family's 1533-position model. The record is from RNAcentral.
AGCGAACGCUGGCGGCAGGCCUAACACAUGCAAGUCGAACGGAUCCUUGGGAUUAGUGGCGGACGGGUGAGUAACACGUGGGAACGUGCCCUUUGGUUCGGAGCAACUCAGGGAAACUUGAGCUAAUACCGGAUGUGCCCUUCGGGGGAAAGAUUUAUCGCCAUUGGAGCGGCCCGCGUCUGAUUAGCUAGUUGGUGAGGUAAAGGCUCACCAAGGCGACGAUCAGUAGCUGGUCUGAGAGGAUGAUCAGCCACAUUGGGACUGAGACACGGCCCAAACUCCUACAGGCGGCAGCAGUGGGGAAUCUUGCGCAAUGGGCGAAAGCCUGACGCAGCCAUGCCGCGUGAGUGAUGAAGGUCUUAGGAUUGUAAAAUUCUUUCACCGGGGACGAUAAUGACGGUACCCGGAGAAGAAGCCCCGGCUAACUUCGUGCCAGCAGCCGCCGUAA